RNAcentral lists this ribosomal RNA (253 nucleotides) under uncultured bacterium. RNAcentral describes it as "partial 16S ribosomal RNA". It matches the Rfam family "Bacterial small subunit ribosomal RNA", at positions 524 to 776 of the family's 1533-position model. The record is from RNAcentral.
UACGAAGGGGGCUAGCGUUGUUCGGAAUUAUUGGGCAUAAAGAGCUCGUAGGCGGUCUGUCGCGUCUGCUGUGAAAACUCAGGGCUUAACCCUGAGCUUGCAGUGGGUACGGGCAGACUAGAGUGCGGUAGGGGAGACUGGAAUUCCUGGUGUAGCGGUGAAAUGCGCAGAUAUCAGGAGGAACACCGGUGGCGAAGGCGGGUCUCUGGGCCGUAACUGACGCUGAGGAGCGAAAGCAUGGGGAGCGAACAGG